Molecule: ribosomal RNA, 254 nt
Filed under: uncultured bacterium
Lineage: Bacteria
Description: partial 16S ribosomal RNA
Rfam family: Bacterial small subunit ribosomal RNA
Source: RNAcentral
UACGUAGGGGGCGAGCGUUGUCCGGAUUUAUUGGGCGUAAAGAGCUCGUAGGCGGUUCGGUAAGUCGAAUGUGAAAUCUCCACGCUCAACGUGGAGGGGUCAUUCGAAACUGCCGUGACUUGAGUACGGCAGGGGAGUGUGGAAUUCCCGGUGUAGCGGUGAAAUGCGCAGAGAUCGGGAGGAACACCCGUAGCGAAGGCGGCACUCUGGGCCGAUACUGACGCUGAGGAGCGAAAGCGUGGGGAGCAAACAGG